GGCACGUGCCCCGCAGGGCGCCCGGGUCUCUGAGUGGCGCGGUUGCGGCCCACCGGGACUUUGGUCAGGGACCCCCUGGUGCCUGAGCCCAGAGCAGAUCAGAGCAACCCCGCGGCCCUGGUGUGGUCGGCGACCAGAAUGCAACAAUCCCCGCGUCCGGCUACACUGGGCAUUAGAGGAAGGGUGCACGCGGAGAAAACCCUGCACAGAUCCCGAUGUUCCCUACGGCUGUCCACUCCUCCUCUUUUCUGCCCGGCUACUCCGGAGCUGAUGCCUUCACAGUCAAGACGCCGAGCCAUAACACCCAUCUUAUUUUCAGCACCUUUC
This 327-nucleotide long non-coding RNA is filed under the name Mus caroli (Ryukyu mouse). RNAcentral describes it as "RIKEN cDNA 6330562C20 gene (MGP_CAROLIEiJ_G0003403.1)". The record is from RNAcentral. Lineage: Eukaryota; Metazoa; Chordata; Mammalia; Rodentia; Muridae.